CCUACGGGAGGCAGCAGUAGGGAAUAUUGCUCAAUGGGGGCAACCCUGAAGCAGCAACGCCGCGUGGAGGAUGAAGGUUUUCGGAUUGUAAACUCCUUUUGUUAGAGAAGAUAAUGACGGUAUCUAACGAAUAAGCACCGGCUAACUCCGUGCCAGCAGCCGCGGUAAUACGGAGGGUGCAAGCGUUACUCGGAAUCACUGGGCGUAAAGAGCGCGUAGACGGGAUAGCAAGUCAGAUGUGAAAUCCUAUGGCUUAACCAUAGAACUGCAUUUGAAACUGUUAUUCUAGAGUAUGGGAGAGGUAGGUGGAAUUCUUGGUGUAGGGGUAAAAUGCGUAGAGAUCAAGAGGAAUACUGAUUGCGAAGGCGACCUGCUAGAACAUAACUGACGCUGAUGCGCGAAAGCGUGGGGAGCAAACAGGAUUAGAUACCCCUGUAGUC
This 440-nucleotide ribosomal RNA is filed under the name uncultured bacterium. Its description in RNAcentral is "partial 16S ribosomal RNA". It matches the Rfam family "Bacterial small subunit ribosomal RNA", at positions 338 to 795 of the family's 1533-position model. The record is from RNAcentral.